UUUUUUUUCUUAAAGUUAGGAAAUUAGAAAUAGUGUCUGUACCUGUGUUUUUGUUUUGUUUCCUGGUACUGGGAAUCGAACUCAGGACCUUGCACUUGCCAGUCAGGCACAGUGCCGUUGAGCUACAUCCCCAGACCUGUGGAAUAGUAUCCAUAUUAACUUAGCCUAGAGCCUGCUGAGAGGUCCACCUUUCCGCAUCCCCCAGGAUAUCUAGUGCGCCUGUCUGGCCCCCAGGAAUCCCCACAGUGCCUCUCACCCUUGCCACUCUCUCAGGUUGGUUGGCCGUUGCAGUUUGAACUUCUGCAUUGAUAUUCUAAGGGGGACAUCUUGUUUUGAGGGAAGAGGGACACUUCAAAACAUGCCUUGGAAGUGCAGCUAUUACUCAGCAACUUGCAUCUUCACUGGAGCCUCUUUGUAAAAUUGCUGUGGUGUGUCUGGGAAGCAAAGCAGAAGCAGCCCAGGCAGUGCCCUGCCUGACCUAGGAGCCCCACAACCUUGUGCCCAUUGUAGGACAGCAUGCUCUGUGUAGAACAUGGAAAAAUACAGGAAAGUAUGAAGAAAAUUAAAGAUAUGUUGUAUCUUUUAAAAAUCAUCUUAAUCUUAUCAUGGGGAAAUAAGACUGGAUAUAUUUUCUGUCUCACGCAUAUAUGUAUAUAUUAAAAAAUAAAAUGAAGGAUAUUUUUAAAUAUAAGAUUUGAAUAUGUUUUGUAUUUCCUUUUCCAGUUGACCUGUAGGUAUGUCUCCUAUGUCUUUACAUACUUUGGAGUAUUUAUAACAUGAUACCAAAUAUAGCUCCAUCAUGUAUUGGGAGAGAAUUAUCCAACAUACUUCUCUCUCACUCCCUUUCUUUUCCAUCUUACACAGUUUCUUAUUUUUCUCUAAUUCUCAAUCACUCCUCUGGUUGGCUCUCAGACACAGAAUGGAGCCAGGGGAUGGAAUGUCAAGUUUUCAAAGCGAUUGCCCUAUGCUAGAUGUCCACCGUGUCCACUGCAGUGUAUGGAGUCUUCAGAGCAGCGAACAUCCUGCUUUUGCAUCAUUCAGUCUUUCUUUUUUUUUUUUGGUAAUGGGGAUCGAACUCAGGUCCUUGUGCUUGUGCAGCAGGCAGCAAAACCACUGACCUAAAUCUCCGGCCUGCAUCAUUCAGUCUUACAGCUCUACCGCGCUGAGGUGCCAGUUCAUAAGUUGGACAUCCAGAAACCUCUCUGUAGGGCCGUCUGGCCCAUGUCCUUUGCCCCUUAGUAGACUAGUGUGCUAAUGGAAAGGAGCUCAGAAGACAUUGCUGCUGCCUCCCCUACCCAAUCAGGGAGAAAACUUGUUAGUAGUUGCCUCUAUCUGGAUGUUGGGCUCAUCUCCUCUGUUUCUUUUGGCAGGUUUUCAGUUAGCUCAAGGAGGUGGUGUGUGCCCUAACUGGUAGCUUUCUUCUUCAG
This 1427-nucleotide long non-coding RNA is filed under the name Heterocephalus glaber (naked mole-rat). RNAcentral describes it as "lncRNA (ENSHGLG00100034159.1)". The record is from RNAcentral. Lineage: Eukaryota; Metazoa; Chordata; Mammalia; Rodentia; Bathyergidae.